UGGGGAAUAUUGCACAAUGGGCGCAAGCCUGAUGCAGCCAUGCCGCGUGUAUGAAGAAGGCCUUCGGGUUGUAAAGUACUUUCAGCGGGGAGGAAGGGAGUAAAGUUAAUACCUUUGCUCAUUGACGUUACCCGCAGAAGAAGCACCGGCUAACUCCGUGCCAGCAGCCGCGGUAAUACGGAGGGUGCAAGCGUUAAUCGGAAUUACUGGGCGUAAAGCGCACGCAGGCGGUUUGUUAAGUCAGAUGUGAAAUCCUCGGGCUCAACCUAGGAACUGCAUCUGAUACUGGCAAGCUUGAGUCUCGUAGAGGGGGGUAGAAUUCCAGGUGUAGCGGUGAAAUGCGUAGAGAUCUGGGGGAAUACCGGUGGCGAAGGCGGCCCCCUGGACGAAGACUGACGCUCAGGUGCGAAAGCGUGGGGAGCAAACAGG
Molecule: ribosomal RNA, 429 nt
Filed under: Chloroflexota bacterium
Lineage: Bacteria; Bacillati; Chloroflexota
Description: Chloroflexi bacterium partial 16S ribosomal RNA
Rfam family: Bacterial small subunit ribosomal RNA
Source: RNAcentral